This is a long non-coding RNA of Cuculus canorus (common cuckoo), 2310 nucleotides long. RefSeq lists it as uncharacterized. Lineage: Eukaryota; Metazoa; Chordata; Aves; Cuculiformes; Cuculidae. The record is from RefSeq and is a predicted model, not a curated record. The transcript is spliced from 4 exons.
UCCACCUCAUCUUUCAGAAAGCCUUCAUUUCCUGGACUUAUUGAAUGUGUCAAGGUGUUUCUCCAACCAGCUUUUCCUGCCUCUUUAUAGUGUUCUCUCUGUUCUCUGGGUGUAGGGGAAAGCAUGCUGGCUGCUUCAGAGGACUUGAAGUGUAACAGUUGGCUUUUUAGCUAUUGCCUCACCCUGCCUGCUUUUCCUGGCAUCCUCAUCAGCUCCUGCAGACUUUAAUCUUUGCUUUUCAAAUAAAAGUUUCCUACUGAUGGUGCUAAGUUUCUAAGCUGAACCAAAUCUGAACUGCCCAAGCAGUUGAAGCAAGAAUGAGCUUAAUCCAUCACUCAUGCAAGCGCAGAUCAUGUUAAAUCUUGCUUUGAAAUCAAUACUUUUGGUUUAAAACUAGCGCAACCAUGAGAGCAACCUGUCAGUGUGAGGUUAGCUGCCUGCAUUUAUUUCAGAGGAGUUUGAAUGCUGAUGUUUCUGGACUGUUUCACGGCCGCUGAUCUUCACAGGGGACUGAGAUAUGGAAGUAAAUUUAUUUAAGGCUUCUGAGUUCUAUCUGACUUCUGAAAAUGCAAUGUGAGCUGUAAAUCACUGGGGUGAUUGGAAAACAUCAUCCCCUUGAGUCGUCACUGAGCAGAACCCUUCUUCAGGCUUUUAGAGUUACCUUUUCUGCAGACGGUAAAACCAAGUCUGAAAGUGCUGGUGUAAAGGAGACCUUGGAGCCUCCUGGUGAGGCAGCACCACAACUGGAGCCAACAGAUCCCCGAACUACUUCCCCAGGAGAGAGACAUCACAACCUGAAGGAGGCUCUGACAUGGACAACUGUGACCCCUCUUUGAAGCCACGUAAUGAUGAAAGCAGGUUUUGCCGGGCUCAAGAGAGGCAGGACAUCAGAUCAUGGGCUACCAUGGCUUACUGACUCCUCAAACGUCAGCUGAGCUACACUACCUGACCAUGUAAUGUGCUAGUCGUAUCACAAAUGUUGCACAAAACCUGUGAAUUUAACACUUUUUUAAAGACCUUGGUUUCAGUGUGUUUCCUCUGGCACUGGUGAGGGGCUGGGAGUGCAUAGGAGCUGUCUGUCUUUAUCGUUGGAGGGAAGAGAAAUAGAAACUAAAACCUGGGAGUGAAGAAGCAAAGUGUGAGCUGUGAACCUUCACAGGGAACAAACACAACUCCCUUACCCCAGCACCGCUGAUUUACCUCCCUGCUGGCUGCCCAUAACUACAUCCCAGGAGCAGCAUCACCCUCAGGCUACUGAUGGAUCUCCUCCUCGGGGCAGAGCCUGGCUUUGUUUUCCAGGGUCUAUAUGGUAGCUGCUGUAGCAAGUGUUUGCCCAGCCACAAAAAGGGAGCUAUUCCUUUUAAGUCCUACAGGUUGCAACUCAGUGAUCUGGAUUCACUGAUGAACCUAUCUUCUGACUGAACAGUUAUGGUGAGUUUAAAUUGGCAUCUACAGCCCACGCGUGCACGCUCUCCUCUCCAGUUGCCCCCAGCACAGCCACACAGGCAGUCUAGCCAUACCCAGGUGCCACUUUUACAUCAACUCUUUCAAGUGGGAAGAGGCUUUCUGGCGUGCGCUCGCUGCUAAUACUAAUAGUAGCACUGUUCUGUCCCUCACUGUCUUUACACAACAACUUAAUGCUCAAAACUUAAUGUCCCACGAGGAAACGUGCACCAGUAUGGGCCCAUCUCAUCUGGAUUAAAGAUGUCUUCUGGUUCAGUUUCUUUCAUAAAGCGAAGGAGAACUUACAUUACCCAGAGCUCAGCCACAGUUCCAUGUGUGCGUUUUUCACCAGGCUGUCACUUGGACUGUUUUGCAUUACGAGCCUUCGGUCUCACUCUGGCUGUCGAUUUGUACUAUUAAGCUCUGAAACACAGAAUUUACAUGCCAAGUUUCCACUUUUCUUCAACAGCCAGGAUCCACUGAAAGCCACUAGGUAGGGUCAGGCUUUGACAAAGCUGGAGGACAGUUCUCCUGCCUCCUCGCUGCCCAUCUCCCCAGGCCUGCCUCCUUAUAACCACCCCAUUUUGUGCUCGCUGGCAUGCCUGCCAGGGGACACAGGGACACCAGGAUCACAGCAAUGGCAGCAGGAGAGCCCAGGCCGAGCGAUGACAGCUGAAGUACAUCAGUGUUUUAUCUUCUCAAUAUUUUGAUUAGUCAAAGGAAUGUUUGGGUUAAAAAAAAAACAAAAAACCAAAAAAACAACACAUUUUUUAAAAACCACGUGAUGGUCCCACAGGCUGUUACGGCUUUAUGUAAUAUUGAAUAGCUCUGUAGAAAUGGUCGCGUAACUGAGAGCAUCAGUGUGAU